CCCGCAUAUAUAGGUAUAUAAAAUAGGUUUGCAAAUCAUACAUUUAACUGAUAAUAAAUCAUAAUUUCACCCCCCCCACACACACAUUAACAAGACUCUAUAUGAGAUCAUAAGCCACAGCUGAAGAAGCUGGGACCUAAGGAAACUCAUUGAAUACAGGAUUUAGAGAUAGAAGGGACUUCAGAGAUCAUUUAGUCCCAUCUUUCCAUUUUGUAGAUGAGAAAGUAGAGGCCUAGGAAGAUCAAGGGACUGGCUAAAUUUUAUGUAGUUAACUGACAAACAGAAUUUGAAUCCAGCUUUUGUCUCCAACUGUUUUCACUUUAAAAUAUUACUGUCUUUCUUUAUUCCAGGUACAUUUCAAGGGGAAGCUGAAGCUGGUGAAUGACAAGGAGGGUCACUGCCUGUUAAUUUUGCCACAUGGACACCUUUUCACAUCUGAGUCUUCAUUCUAAUCCCACUGACUUUUCCUUGCUCCAGAUCCUCAUUACCACAAAGUUAUUUAAACGUUGUCUGCCUCAGUUUCCUUAACUGCAAAAUGGGGAUAACUGCAUCUACAUCCCAGGGUUGUUGGGAAUAUAAAAUAAGCUAAUGAAGUUCUGAGCACAAUAGUGAGUGGUUCACAGUGGGUACUUAAAUAAUCAUUCCCUUCAUUCGGAAUCCUCAUCUAUAAAAUUGGGGUGCCGGACUCCAGCUCUGAUGUGGAGUAUGAUCUGUCUCCUUUCACUUCCGCCCCAGCCCCCGUGCAGCACAGUGCUCUGUAGCCAGCUGGUGCAUAAACAUCGCCGGGCUGGGUUGGGAGGAGCACUUCCAGCCCCCUUCACCGUCAGCAUCCCGAGCACCUGUGAUGCUGCUGCAGGCAGGCGAGGGAUGCUAAAGAAGAUGUAGGUGGUCAGGUCCUUCCCGCUCCUUCCUCCCCACCUCUGACUCUGGCCCUGCUGUAGGAUUUUUAUUUUGUUUUGCAGAUGAUUAUACCUUAGAGAUAAGAGCGCUUUCCAAAUACACUCCUAAUAAGGCGAAGGUUGAUUGUACGUAAAUGGGAGCUGCCGGCGUGAUCAUGCAGGAAGCCUGCGGAGUCUGGACCUUGACUGGCGACUGAGUCCGGAUUUGAGAGGGCCGGUCCCGGGAGCGGGGCAGGGAUGGACACUCCCCACUCCUCCCCAAAGACCAGGGAUCAGGAGGUUAACACGCAGCACUUAUCAGCUCAACACUGCUCUCAGCUUCAUCUAAAAGCAAUUACAGAAAGGG
Sarcophilus harrisii (Tasmanian devil) is the source of this 1245-nucleotide long non-coding RNA. RefSeq lists it as uncharacterized. The transcript is spliced from 3 exons. NCBI's taxonomy places the organism in Eukaryota, Metazoa, Chordata, Mammalia, Dasyuromorphia, Dasyuridae. The record is from RefSeq and is a predicted model, not a curated record.